This is a small nucleolar RNA of Raphanus sativus (radish), 107 nucleotides long. The record is from RefSeq and is a predicted model, not a curated record. NCBI's taxonomy places the organism in Eukaryota, Viridiplantae, Streptophyta, Magnoliopsida, Brassicales, Brassicaceae.
AAUCCAUGGUGAGGGCAAUCUCUCUGGUAGGCUCUAAAUCUCACCCAAGAUGCCUUAAAAGCUUCAGUAGUACCUUGAGAGAAAUUAUAGAUCUUAUUCCUAAAUUC